RNAcentral lists this long non-coding RNA (3249 nucleotides) under Olea europaea subsp. europaea. Lineage: Eukaryota; Viridiplantae; Streptophyta; Magnoliopsida; Lamiales; Oleaceae. The record is from RNAcentral.
UGACUUCAAUUUGGCAAUUUCUUGGGGAUAUCUUUUUUAUCAAAUUGUAUUUUCGCGGAGUUCAACAGUGAAAAUGUGAAAUAUGUCCAAUUAUUUGAAUUUUUGUUGAUAUUUUGAAAUUGAUAUUAUGUAUUGAUGAGCCAUCAAGUUAAAAUUAAAAAGAAUUCCAAGUUGCAAAUGCUAUUUGGAAGUUGAAUUUGCUCUGCUAGGUUGCAGAGUAUACUUGAAUUUAUUUUAUCAAAAGAUGAAUAUUUAUCAUCUCUUAGUUUCCCCUUCUUUGUCAUAUAUCUUUACGAAAUUGUUGUAGAAAUAUUUAGAUGAUAAUUGGAUUGUGUUGAUAAUGUACUUGGAAGAUCAUACGAGGAAUUUCAGGGAAAAAAGGGUUUGUUGCUUGUGUCCAUUUUAUUUCAGGUGUCCGGAAAAAAAUGUUGAGUGUGGAAAGUAUAUCCAUCCUUGUGCGUUUGGGUCUGUUAUUCAUAUUGAUAGUUGACAUUCCAUGUGAGGAAGCAUAUUUCACAUAAAACAUAUAUUCACUUUGUGUUGUUAGGUAACUAUUGUAGCUUUGCACAUCUGCUUUCGUAAUGGUUUAUUGUUGCACAUUUUAUAGGCUAAUGUUGCUAGAAGAAAUCGAAUUUCUUUCCGUUCAAAUGAUGGAAUGAUGAUUGAUGGCGUUAAAGAUUACUCUCACCUGGUUGCUGAAAUGAUAUGAUUGUCGUAAGUUUUAACUUACUAUGAAUGCUUUUAGUUUUCGUCAACUGCAACUCUAUUAUGUAUUUUGAGCCGAAUAUUUUUAAAUAACAGCAUCAACAUAAUUAAAUUUAUUUUACUCUUGAAACGACAAAUAUGUUUCCUCUUCCUUUUUGAUGAAAGUUAAAUCACAAUAGAUUUGUCUUUUAUAUGAAGAUUUUCUUCUUCUGAAUUGCUGUUGCGCACUGUACUUGAUAUUGGUUGCGGGUCUGGUAGUUUUAGUGCUCGUCUUCUAUCGCUUAAGCUGAUGUGUGACAGCAUAUGAGCCAACAGGUAGACAUGUUCAAUUGGCACUUGAUAGAGGUCUCCCUUCAAUCAAAACUUAAUCUAAAGACAGGUCCCUCUUCAUCCUUUGUCAUAUGAAGUGGUUCACUGCACUCAAUGUAGCAUUGUCUGGGAUAACAAAGGUAUGAUCCUCAUUAAGGUUUGGGGUUUUGUUUUUUUCCAUUAAAUCACCAUUUCUUCAUCAGAUUAAGUGCAGUGGUUUUUAUUGAUUUUUCACCGAUGAAAAUACUUGAAAUUAAUUUGACAUUUAGCCUAAUGUAUUGCGAACUUUUCUGAUCCAAACAAGAAGGAAAAGAAAGCGAAUGAUCCAAACAAGCCAAAGAGACCUCCAAGUGCUUUCUUUGUUUUCAUGUAUGCCCAUUUGCAUUUUUGGUCUCUAUCAUUUCUGUCUAUUGUUCUUAUAUAUUACCUUUUUUAUGCCGCUUGGCAGACUACAACAAUAAUUUGGUAAUCCAUCUAUGAGAAGCACGGUGUUAUACACAGUUUAGUUUGAAUUGUGAUACUGAAACGACUUGUGCCGAACUGUUUUUAUAGGCUAGAGGGGCUGUUGAAUUCGACAAGGCAAAGUCUGAGGUUAAUGGUGAUGAGGACGAUGAGAACAGUGGAGACGUUAGUUGAAAUUAAGCUAUACAACUUUUUUGUACUUGAAACUUUGCUACUAUGUUGACUUUUUAUUUUGUUUUAAUUAAUUUAGGGGGAAGACGAUGAGUAAGCACUAUUACAGAAAACUGGAUUUUGGAUUCAAGGUGAGAACCAACAAUCAAUCUUCCUUCAUUAUUUGCAUUUAUGGCUUCAGGUUUUGUAAAAUGUUCGAUUUGAAAGUGAGUUAAUUGGAUUGGUAGAUUUCAUGAAGAAUUAUUGUGUAAAAUUUGGCUUCAGGUGAAUUUUACUGAAAUUAAUUGAAAGUAAUUAUCAAUAAUACUCCUUUUUUAAUUUUUAUUUUUUAAAGUUGCUAAUGUGUUUGUUCUUCCUUUCAGUGAGGGAACAAGCAUCUCUUUGCCAUUAACUUGGGGCAAAAAAAGAGAGGAAACGUAUGCCUUGUUUUUCAUUAUUGCCUAUUGGUACACAAGACGUAUUUAGAGGAAAGGGGUGGAGGAAGAGGGGGUUGAGUGCUUGUAGACCAUGAGCAAAAAUGGCAGACUACAAUAAGAAUUUGGUAAUUUCAUCUAUGAAAUUCUCUAUUACAAUGCACUACGUGCAUCUCACAUGCGAAGAACUAGUUCGAUAAAUAUUCAAUAUUUUGCAGCAAGCUUCAUAUCUUGUUAAAUUUUGAAGGUCCUUCCUUUUGUGAAAUCAUUUAAGUUAAAAAUGUUAAGAGAGAAAAACAUUAAUUUAUUAAUAUCUUCAAAACUCUUCUUAUGGUGCAGGUAGAUUUAAUUUUUCUAUAAACAUUAAAUUUCUGACUUUGAUGGGGAUGAUGUUAUUAUUUUACAGAUUUUCAUCUGGUCGUCCAUUACCAAUACAAUUUCGAGACUCGAUUUGAUUAGAGACUAAUAGCUCAGUCAUCUACCAGGUCAAGAAAGUUAUUAAUUGGGUUAGUUGCUGUAAGCUUGUGGGCUGACCACCUAUAUGCCUGCUUUGCAUAUAUUUCGUUGCCAGCUCCAAUCCACAUCAUUUGAUGACGUGUUGUUUACAACAAAUUUGACUUGUACACAAUAUCUGUUAUUACGAGAGUUAGAGAGAGAGGCCAAUUCAAACCAUCAUUUGGUGACACAUUUUUUAAGAGCAAUCGUGGAACCUAUAUUUGUUAAGUGAAGUCAAUGUUAUGCUGAAGCAAACAAAAGAUUAUGACGAUUGAGGAUAGUCAAGUUCACAUUUCACUUCUUAUCUUUCCAUUCUCUCUCUUUUAGAGUAAAGAUCAUUUGUAGUAUUUCGUGGCUACCAAAUAUUCAAAUACUCCAGGGAACAUUGUAGAUGUAAAAUUCUGCAUUAUAUAAUAGGAGGAAUUUCUUUUUUUUUUUUUUUUUUCCUAAAUGGAUUAUCAGGUAAGUUGUCAUUAUUUGCAAUAGUAAUAGGCUUUUUAUUAUGAUGUGCAGUUGCACAUGUCCAUGUGUGUCCACGUAUACUUGUGUGUGUAAAUGUGGAAUAAUGAUAUUUACAAUCUAUUCUUACCUAUUAGCAAUUAGCAUUCUAUGUAGAUGUAUUGUUACUGCCACAUUUUCCUAUAAUUUUAGAGUAGGGAUAUUUGUAAGCAUCGUACUGAAAACAACAAUCUAU